This 1790-nucleotide long non-coding RNA is filed under the name Gallus gallus (chicken). Its description in RNAcentral is "long non-coding RNA NONGGAT003978". Lineage: Eukaryota; Metazoa; Chordata; Aves; Galliformes; Phasianidae. The record is from RNAcentral.
CUAGUUCACAGGAGUUGUUGACUUACAGGGAAACCUGAAAUGGUAGAAGAGCUGUGAGGUCCUAAUGAACAGCUGUAGUGUUGCCUUAAUUUGGUUUCUGUCUGAACGUAAGCAAAGAGAGAACAGCCUGAGGAACGUGUCCAUAGACCUGACCUUCAAAAUCUUGCGACUUAAAAUACUUUUAACGCCUGUAUUAUUCUGGAAAUGUGAAUCCACAAUGCAGCUGUGGUGAGAUGGAUGUGCUCGCCAGAAUGAACACACUGGAAAAACGAGAAGGGCAUAAAUAGCAACUGUCCGGAUGUUACUGCAGAAAAAUAAAUUGGAAGCUGAUCAUAAGAUCCAAGUGGGUAUUUAGAGUCAGUGUAAAUAGAAAUACCAAAUUAAGCAAAUAACAUGUAAUUUUGAGAUGAAUUGCUCUAUGUGCCAAGUGUAAAACUUUGCACUCAAUUUGUGUGGUAUGAUAACAGGAGACCAUGGAGACAUUUUAGAACCUAGAAUCACACGGGCAAACUGUAAGCCACGUAAAAUAAUAUGUAACACAAUCACGCAUGCAGUAUGAUUGUAAGCAAAACUGCAAUACAGUUAAAGAAGACAAGUCUAGCUCAGGAAGAAGGUUCCCAUUACUGUGUAACCUGGAGGAAAAACAGACCAGGCAUCCAAAUUUCAGCCGUACUGGAUGCCGAUUCAAGAAAACACUAAAAAUCACACAUAGAAGUGUAUCCAAACACAGGCAAAAUGAGUGCUUGUCCUAAUUUUCAUGUUACAGUGCCCUGCUAGUCGCUAUUUUACCCUUUAGUUCUGGAGCAGGUCCACAUAAAAUAAUUUGCAUGGCGGAAGCUAGACCAGUGAUUCAGAUGCAGAACGGCAACAAAAGGGAUUUUUCUGCUGUAUCUUUGAUUCAUGACAAGGGCUGAGCAUGCAUCCAGAUGGAGAAAUUAGAGAAGACAAAAAGGACCCCAGAAAAGGAAACGGAGAACUGUAUAUCAUCUUCAUUUAAAUAAUGAAAGCCAUAAGAAUUAAUAAGUGUACCAAGCUGUUGGAAUAAAAUUGAGACAAGGAGCGGAGCUCUGCGAAAUCUCCCCCACCAUUGAAUAUGACAUAAAUAAUCUGAAAAUGAAUAAUGGCUUCAUUUUUGUUUCGUUCCACGCUUCACUGAGGUUGAAUUAACAAAUGCCUUAAAAUAGAUUGCUCCGUGUGAAGUUGCUUUGAAAGGCAGCACUUAAAAGAAGCAUUCUAAGCUGGUGAGGAAAUUGCAAGUUUAAUAAAAACACAAGCAGUUACAAAAAUGUUACGUGACAGUCUGCACUUAAGUUAGUAAAGAAAGCAAUGAUUCCUAAACAUGAUAUAGUUGAGGCAUAAAACAUUCUAUCGGAGCUCUGUCUCUGCAGUGGAAAGGACUGAAGCAGGGAGCUUGCUCAUGAACUGCAAAUGUGAUUUCAGCUAUUUUUGCUGAAUUGCCUCAUUUUUAUCUACAAAAUGUUUAAAACGAGCUGUUUUACUUUGCUCCACCCAAGCUCAGGCAACAAGUACCCAGAUGCAGAGCUGUAGGUACAGAACUCAUUUUAAAUUUGAGCAUGGGGUGGCUGCAAUCCCCAAAAUCUAGUUUAAAAACUAAAACAUUUCACUUCAGCAUUAAGGCAUCUUUUUCCACCUCCAAGAGACGCAGUGCUUUUCUUUUGCAAUUUGACUUGAAUAUUGUAAUACUUCACUUUUUUCUUUGCUUGUUUAAAAACGUGCCCCGGAGAACCAAAAUUUCAUGGGGUGCUGUGUGAAGAUGUGAAAUAAAUCUG